CUGCUAUAGGGCCCUAAUAUACCACUCCAUUACCUCAGCGCCCACAUAUUCCACAGAGCUGUACAAAACUUGACAUCACUCAGAGUGGUCCUUGUCCACAUUGGGGAUCACAAUGCUACUGAAGACGGCAUCCUACAAGUCGGAGGCUGAGGUGUUCCGGAAUUUUCCUGUUCGUUAUGGUGUCCCCGUUGGGACAUGGGUUCGGUCCGGUGAUUCGAGGUUCUAUGGAGUCGGUUUGGGUUCUAUCGUGAUUCCAGGUUCCAGUUGCGGCUGCAGAUUCGCAUCAAGAAAGAGGAGGAGAUAAUGGAAGCAGUCCCUUAUAUACCAAGCAUCCCGGUCAGGGAUUGGCCGAUACAUCCUAUGGACUGCUGGGAGUUGUAGUUUUAAGUGGUUAAAAGUUUUUUAGUAAAAAAUUAAUUAAAAGAGUUUUG
Molecule: long non-coding RNA, 431 nt
Organism: Hyla sarda
Lineage: Eukaryota; Metazoa; Chordata; Amphibia; Anura; Hylidae
Exons: 3
Source: RefSeq, a predicted model, not a curated record